This is a long non-coding RNA of Lycium barbarum (goji berry), 661 nucleotides long. RefSeq lists it as uncharacterized. Lineage: Eukaryota; Viridiplantae; Streptophyta; Magnoliopsida; Solanales; Solanaceae. The record is from RefSeq and is a predicted model, not a curated record. The transcript has 3 exons.
UCACUCUCUUUAUCAGAGCUUCUCUCUCUAGCUGUAGGUCUCUGCUGGUGCAAAAUGAUGAAUUAGCCGAAAUUCAUUGCCAAACUCGACUUCUAGAUAAGCUUAAGCUGAUUUACGCCAAUAAACAUUGAUCUGUUCUUCCCCAUCUGCUUCAAAUCUUCUAGUCCCGGAUGUAAUGCCCUGCACUCCUUUUCUUUAUGCCCCUGUAAUUUGCAAUGUUUGCAGUACUUAGAAAGGUCUGGUUCUGCUUGUUGUGGCCAAGUCAACUGUCAAAGGCCUACCCAUAGUUGAUGUCAUUGAGAAGACUGCCUGCCUUCCUUGUAAUGAAAUUUAGAGGCAGUUCUCGGAAGCAUAUCCAUGCAACAACUUGCAGAAGUUUCUUCAUCUAGCUUAAACCAAGGGAUCCAAAUUAAUGGUCUCAUCUGACAAUACCUAGAUUGAACUUUGAUGUAAUAAGCCAGUGUAGAUAACAUUUUAACAUAGUCCUCCAGUAAAGAUAAUAUAUAUGUAUGUCUUCAAUUAAGACAAUUAUGCAUGAACCUUUAGUGGUACAUUGAUCUGGGAUGGCUUUCCGUAAAUCCUUUAUAUCAAUUAUGUCAUAAGAAAACCUAUCCAAAAUUGCAUAUUGUAAGUUUUCCUAAAUGAUUAACUGUUUGACCUC